This is a non-coding RNA of Petromyzon marinus (sea lamprey), 2226 nucleotides long. NCBI's taxonomy places the organism in Eukaryota, Metazoa, Chordata, Hyperoartia, Petromyzontiformes, Petromyzontidae. The record is from RefSeq and is a predicted model, not a curated record.
ACUUUAAGAUGUUCUUUGUGCAUGUUUUUGUUUGUUGCGGUUGCACCCGAGUCAAGAGCCGCAUGGCUCACAGGGCUAUACCGAAUAAAUGAAACUAAAACGGAAAAGUACUCGCGAACAAGACUCGCUCCAACAGUCUGUUAAGGCUAUACGGGGCACCCUCAGACCUUAAUGCAUAUAUAUAAACCCUAUGAUAUGUAGAAGCUAUUCAGCGCUUCCCGUUAAUUAAACCAUAUAAACAAACAAAAAAUGUUCCAUUGCUUUACAGGGGGUGGGAACAGUGGUGAGUGCACUGCACUGAAUCCAGCGGCCGCAGUUUUGUUCCAGGCCUCAUGUUCUUCUGUACUAUGGACAGAGCAGGACGACUUCUGCAGAGAUGGAGCCAUGAGAUCAGCUUGUGUUGCAGGCGCGAGAGAUUGAAUGUGAGAAUGGCGACAAUGUGAGGAGGCUCUGGUUGAGCAAUCUCGGCUAACAUCAGUGGCAAAGGAGAGAGCGCGUCCGAGAGAAUGACCACCGCAGAGAUGGAGCAAUGGAGAUCAGCCCGCGUGCAAGAGUGAGAUGGGUUGCGAGAAAGGCAACAACAUUAAGAAAGCUUUGGUUGAGAAGUGAAUAGUGCAUGGCUGUUGAUGAUGACGGCAACGCCAGUGAUUGACUUGCAACAAUGACAACAUUCAAUGCUGUGUUGACUUUUGCUUUGGAACCAAUUCAUUGUUGCAAAAGGGGUCAUGCGUCUCAGUGGCUUCUCAUACACUUCAUGAAUAUAUAGUACUGUACCGUUUUCAUUGUCGACUAUCAUAGAAAAGUGCACUCGCGUACACACGUGUGCACCGUAGUAAAAUAAAUUGUUCAUUUCUUCUGGCUUGAAGGCCAAGCUAAAACCCGACCAGAGCAACAAUGCGAUCUUACAAUUCAGCGGCACACUUGACUGCCCGUUAGCAGCACCAGCAGCUCUUUAGCUAAUUGCUCUGCGUAGCAGAGCGUCAUUACCAUGGCCAUGACGUGCGUACCCACGUCUUUCACUACUUUUUUUUCAACAUAGUGCCAAGUUCCUGCGAGACCGCUAUAUGACGCGAGCAAAUAAAACACCCAGUAUAAUAUCAACCGCAAAAAGUGGGUGCCAAAUGCUGGCUGGUCAAGCAGCUGUAAACGCAGCAGGCAUAACUCAUACCUUUUUGUUGCGUCGAUACAUUUUGCGGCAUUCAAUUUACGGCCGCGUAUUCUCUCGGUGUUGGGCGUGAUUAAGCCGCGCUUAAAUCUACCCUUUCUGUAAAUAACCACAAGCGAGAAGUUAUAAUCCCAGCUCCGUUUAUUGCGGCGAUAUAUACGUGGCCAUCGUAAAUCAGCCACGGGGCGCGGGCGGGUGACCGCCGCGGAUCGCGCGGGAGCGCGGCCUCAGCCGUCGCGCCGCCAGCCCGUGGCUCGCACGCUCCAUGCUCGCGCACGCUCCAUGCUCGCACGGCGGAGGAGCCGGGGAUCGUGCGUGGAGCGGCGAGCGUGCGACGCCGUUGCGCACAUCCGCUCGGUCGCCCUCAGCAUCCUUCGCUGUGCUCCGUUGCGACGAAUAAAAAUAAACAUGCCAACGGUAUCCAAUUGGGGGCAUGCUGCCGUGGUGUAACGAGUAAGCACGCUGGACUUGCGAUCCAGAGGUCGCCAGGUUUGGUUUGACCCCCCGGCGGGGCAGAUGAAACAAUGGUACGAGGUUACUUCAAUCACCCCUUCACCCUCCUCUGUUUAUCCGCAGUAUAAACAGGUUCACCGCAGUUAGUCGAUUGGUAGUUUGAGGAUGGUUGGUUAGAGUGUGGAUCUGCUCACCUCUUCCAAAACGUGUGGUAAGCGUGGAAGAGUAGGCCAAAUAUUCUCCAGAGAAGCUCCCUUGACCUCCCUCUAGUGGAGGCCCUCCAACCCUCCAGAGAGGUUAUCGAGAGCUCCUUCUAUUGGAGGUGCUUGCAAGUAUAUGCAGGGGUACAUCUUUGCAUUUCCCACCUAUAUCCACUACCUAAACCUGUCGGUGAUGAAGCUACUGACUAAAGGGGGAAUUGUCCUUUCUCAACAAAGCCACGUGUUGUAUUAGCAAGCAUACAGGAGUCCAAUACAUAACGUAGCGUGCGGCCAUGUACAAUUAAAAUGGUAAUCGCAGUCGCAUUCCGUUGCUUAGCGACGUGGCCUUGAAGAGCGAGCGUUGAGCCUGUUUGGAGAAUGAGCCUCUUCUACUAUGACACGUACGAU